GACGAACGCUGGCGGCGUGCCUAAUACAUGCAAGUCGAGCGAAGUUUUUCUGGUGCUUGCACUAGAAAAACUUAGCGGCGAACGGGUGAGUAACACGUAAAGAACCUGCCUCAUAGACUGGGACAACUAUUGGAAACGAUAGCUAAUACCGGAUAACAGUAUUUCUCGCAUGAGAGAUAUUUAAAAGUUGGUUAUGCUAACACUAUGAGAUGGCUUUGCGGUGCAUUAGCUAGUUGGUGGGGUAAAGGCCUACCAAGGCGACGAUGCAUAGCCGACCUGAGAGGGUGAUCGGCCACACUGGGACUGAGACACGGCCCAGACUCCUACGGGAGGCAGCAGUAGGGAAUCUUCCGCAAUGGGCGAAAGCCUGACGGAGCAACGCCGCGUGAGUGAAGAAGGAUUUCGGUUCGUAAAGCUCUGUUGUUAGGGAAGAAUGGAUAUGUAGUAACUAUACAUGUAAGAGACGGUAC
Molecule: ribosomal RNA, 470 nt
Filed under: Gemella morbillorum
Lineage: Bacteria; Bacillati; Bacillota; Bacilli; Caryophanales; Gemellaceae
Description: bacterial SSU rRNA
Rfam family: Bacterial small subunit ribosomal RNA
Source: RNAcentral